RNAcentral lists this long non-coding RNA (489 nucleotides) under Corvus moneduloides (New Caledonian crow). Its description in RNAcentral is "lncRNA (ENSCMUG00000016827.1)". Lineage: Eukaryota; Metazoa; Chordata; Aves; Passeriformes; Corvidae. The record is from RNAcentral.
AUGUCCCAGCAGCAGCCAGGCCCCUCGGCUGUGCUGAGCUACCGGCACAGCAUCUCCCAUCCCCAGGGAGCUGUGCCUCGCUGGGGCCCGAGGGCAGCUGGCGACUUCUUAACCCUGCGGUUUCUGAGCUGGGGAUGUACCCUGAGGGCUCAGGGGCUUCUGGGCUCGGUGCGGCACCAGCGUGUCUGGGUGCAGGUGGACGUGUUUGGCUCUGCAGGGAAGGAGGACCCUCCCUCCCUGUGUUCCGCCAGCCCUCCCUGCAUUGUCUGGGGUUUAGAGGGCACAGGGAAUGCUCCCACACUGGGAAUGCUCCCACACCCUGAGGACACACUGGGAAUGCUCCCACACGGGGAAUGCUCCCACACCCCGCUCCGGGCCUGCCCUGCGGGGUGGGGGCCCAAUCACACUCCCAGGGUGUCCAACCCCAGCUGGGAUUUUGGCAGCUCUGUGCUGGCAGGGGGGUUUAUACAGGGGGUUUUGCCUAAAUAA